CCGCGAUAGGCGCGAGCCGGCGGGCCGGGGCGGGGUCUCCCCGCCGCCGCAGCCCCUGGGCCCCGAGGCUUCCCCGGCGUCCCCCGGCCGGCGCGCUGCGGCCCGGAGGGUCCCGAGGGCGCCGACGCCGCGCCCCGAACCAGCGGUGUGGAGCGUUCGCCGCCGCCUCCCGAGCGGCCGCGGGGCCCCGGCCGUGGCGGGAAGGGCCGAGGCUCUCGGGGCUUCUGUUCCGUCACCGCGGACGCGUCCCCUCCCUCCCAGACCGCCGGCGCGACAGACGAAACGCCUAGCACCCGCCCGCAGCCCUCUGCUCCCCAGCCCCAGGCAGAGGGGAGAAACCAGUGCCAUUGGAAGCAGGGACAAAGAAGGACAAAUGGAGAAAUAACAUGAUGGGAAGAACAUGGAGAGAAAGGUACAGCACAGGAAGAUCUACUGGAAGACCAAGGUCAGCAUGGAAUAAAAGGGAAUUACAGGGAAUAAAGAGGCCAAGACACAUCCCCUUUGACUGAGGAAAACAGACAGCGAUACAGAUCCAGAGAUCGGAAUUCACAAGUGAACAAGAGGAAGAGGCUUUACAACACAGACAGAGCUAAAAUGAGGUGUACAAAGAGAAAGAAAGAGACAGCCCUUUAUGGAACAUCAUUCCCUUUUAACCUGGCACCAUCAAAAGCCACACUGCAUUGACGAUGUAUGGCACAAACCCUGUUCUUAGGAUAGCAUGUGGCCUGGAGGAAGUUAACUGCCUUCCUCUUCUUUCUCCUGCACCUGUUUGCACUGCAUAAGAAUACCUGAUCAGUAUGGCCCUGCACUGUUGCCCCUUUCAACAGCAUUCCUCUGAUGGGCAGGCAGGGCCUGUCAGUCUGGAAGGCAGCCAUGACACAUAGCGCAGGGGUCAGGAUUAGAGGACCUGAGUUCCAGUACUGGCUCUGCUACACAGAAGCUGUGUGACAUGGGGAGAACUACUUAACCUCUCUGUAAAAUAUGGGUUCCUUUACCUACCUUCCAGGAUGGUUGUGAGAAUUAGAUGAGAGAUUUUAAAAAAUACAUGUAAACUACAUGCCGGGUACAGGCAAGGGAUUAUUAUUAUUGUUU
Long non-coding RNA from Hyaena hyaena (striped hyena), 1092 nucleotides. RefSeq lists it as uncharacterized. NCBI's taxonomy places the organism in Eukaryota, Metazoa, Chordata, Mammalia, Carnivora, Hyaenidae. The transcript has 2 exons. The record is from RefSeq and is a predicted model, not a curated record.